Molecule: ribosomal RNA, 497 nt
Filed under: uncultured bacterium
Lineage: Bacteria
Description: partial 16S ribosomal RNA
Rfam family: Bacterial small subunit ribosomal RNA
Source: RNAcentral
GAUGAACGCUGGCGGCGUGCCUAAUACAUGCAAGUCGAGCGAACAGACGAGGAGCUUGCUCCUCUGACGUUAGCGGCGGACGGGUGAGUAACACGUGGAUAACCUACCUAUAUGACUGGGAUAAUCUCGGGAAACCUGAGCUAAUACCGGAUAAUAUAUUGAACCGUAUGGUUCAAUAUCGCAAUACGGUUCUGCUGUCAUUGAUCGAUGUAUCCGCUCCGCAUUAGCUGGUUGGUGAGGUAACGGCUUACCAAGGCAACGAUCCGUAGCCGACCUCAGAGGGUGAUCGACCACACUCGCACUGGGACACAGUCCAAACUCCUGCGGGAGGCAGCGGUAGGGAAUCUAACGGAAUGGGCGAAAGCAUGACGGAGCAAACCCGCGUGAGUCAUGAUGGUCUUCGGAUCGUAAAACUGAGUUAUUAGGGAAGAACAAAUGUGUAAGUGACUAUGCACGGCUUGACGGUACCUGGUCAGAAAGCCACGGCUAACUACGUG